AAAAAGGCAGUCUUACCAGGGUGCAAGUGUGUCCCUCCCCACCCCCAGGGACAUUUAGCAAUAUCUGAAGACAUUUGUCAUGACUAGGGGAGUUCUGAUGGGUGAAGGCUGGGGAUGCUAUUAAACAUCUAUAACGCACAGGACAGCCCACAGCAAAGAAUUAUCUGCCCCCAAAUCAAAAGUGCUUAGAUUGCAAAACUGCUACAAAGCAUCACUAAUGAAAUAAAAUACCAAAUAGUAUUUUCCAUUGUUUUUUAACUUUGGCUAAAGCCCCAAGGUGAGGCCACGAGGUCCCCUCAUGUUCUAAAGACUUAUGAAGGUAGAUGAGCUGCUUCUGUGACUUAUUCCUUUUCUGGAGCCUAUGUUCGUAGAAGAUUGGAAUUUAAGGAGAGAAGUCCUCAGAAUAAGGAGUACUUGGGGAGCUGAGUUGUGGCUUUACUUACCCUAUCCCGUCAGGGUAUACCACGAGAGGGAGGGGUCCCCAUCCCUGUGGCAAAUGAAGGGAGCAGAAAAGAGCCACUCAUUGAGUGGGUGUGGACACCUACAUAAUGGGGAGGCUCGUGCCUGGCAUCCUGGCUCAUGCUUGCCCAGCAGCAGAAACCCACUGCCCCACCUUGCCGCAGAGGGUGGGGAGGGAGUGCUGGGAGGGGCCUGGGCUACCGGCGGAGCAAGAUGGAUGUCUCUGCUUGACAGAGACCUCUGAGGACAGGGGCCCCUUGUGAAGGUAUAAGUGGGGAAGGAAAGGAAGAGAACUGCGUCCCACUGCCCUCCUCCAUGUACUUGGUUUGCCCAGGAUGUGGCAUUUUCUAUGAGCCAAAUGAAUUCCCUGGAAAAAAAACUGUUUUUAGAAUAUCCUGAAGGUACCAAGCCAAGAGAGUGCCCUCUCAAGGCAAGGGGACCCCCGCAGUAAGAGGCUGUGGAUUGAACUGCUAUGGGCAGGAACUAGGGGUCAAGCAGAACCUUCGCUGCCCAUAGCUGUUACAGUGCAGGACAGAGUUCCCCAUGGGCCCUCCUGAAGGCUCCCUGUAGGCACUGAGAAGAGCCACCUGUGGGUUCUUUCCACAUGGAAGGCAUCAACAGCACCACGGUCUUAAGAGCACUUCUCUCUCUUCUCAUCCUUCUUCCAGGGCCCAGUUCCCUGGUAGAGAGAGAGAAAGAAGACCCCAAAAAGGAAGGAGGGGGAAGAAGGUAAAGGCAGAGAGAAAGAAGUGACCAAGUACAAAAGUGCCAGAUCAGCCCUUCCCAAAUUUGCAGAGCCAGAUGUGGGCAUUCACAGAAAGCUGACCUUGCUCCCCUUAGGAGGAGCAAUGCUGAUGGCAGAUGGCCUGGUGGAAGGAGCAGGGGACAAGGAGUUAGAGGGCCUGUGGUCCUCUUCUGAUUAUGCAGCAGCUUGGUCCUUGGACUUCAGGAGUUUGCAGUCUGAUGGAGGAGUUGGCAUGAACAUGUUAUAGAGACUGCAGAAGUCUCAACCAGUGCAAAGUGAAGACGCACCUGAAGUCUUCAGUAGAGAAGGGUCUUAAAGAGGGCUUCCCUGGGGGAGAGGCACAAUGAUGUACGUACAAGAAUUAAUUAAACCAAUUAUAGUUUAUUCAUGUUGGAUAUUGUGAAGACAUGAAAAAUGAUGCCGUAGAACACUUCAUCGCCGUGGAAAAUUAUUUAUCAUGUGUUAAGUAGAAAUGUUAUGAUGUAUUGUGUAUAACAGGAGCCCAAUUUUAUAAAAAGGCAUGCUAAUGCUUAGGUACUAAUCAAAUAAAAUGUUGAUAUUUUAUGCACUAUAU
Molecule: long non-coding RNA, 1778 nt
Organism: Sapajus apella (tufted capuchin)
Lineage: Eukaryota; Metazoa; Chordata; Mammalia; Primates; Cebidae
Exons: 4
Source: RefSeq, a predicted model, not a curated record